UACGGGGGGGGCAAGCGUUGUUCGGAAUCACUGGGCGUAAAGCGCACGUAGGCGGAUGUGUCAGUCAGGGGUGAAAUCCCGGGGCUCAACCUCGGAACUGCCUUUGAUACAGCACGUCUUGAGUCCGAUAGAGGUGGGUGGAAUUCCUAGUGUAGAGGUGAAAUUCGUAGAUAUUAGGAAGAACACCGGUGGCGAAGGCGGCCCACUGGAUCGGUACUGACGCUGAGGUGCGAAAGCGUGGGGAGCAAACAGG
Molecule: ribosomal RNA, 253 nt
Filed under: uncultured bacterium
Lineage: Bacteria
Description: partial 16S ribosomal RNA
Rfam family: Bacterial small subunit ribosomal RNA
Source: RNAcentral